RNAcentral lists this ribosomal RNA (387 nucleotides) under Telonemia sp. RNAcentral describes it as "partial small subunit ribosomal RNA". It matches the Rfam family "Eukaryotic small subunit ribosomal RNA", at positions 582 to 975 of the family's 1831-position model. The record is from RNAcentral. Lineage: Eukaryota; Telonemia.
AUUCCAGCUCCAAUAGCGUAUAUUAAAGUUGUUGCAGUUAAAAAGCUCGUAGUUGGAUCUCAGGGUGAGCUCAGUUGGUCGGCCUAAUUGGUCAGAACUGGCUGACUCUCCCUUGUUUCUGAAUCCCGGUCGGAGUUAAUUCUUCGUUCGUGGACUUCAGAUCGUUUACCUUGAAAAAAUUAGAGUGUUCAAAGCGGGCGUUUGCUUGAAUACAUUAGCAUGGAAUAAUGGAAUAGGACCCUGGUUCUAUUUUGUUGGUUUUGAGGACCAGAGUAAUGAUUAAUAGGGAUAGUUGGGGGGCAUUCAUAUUUAAUUGUCAGAGGUGAAAUUCUUGGAUUUAUGAAAGAUGAACUUCUGCGAAAGCAUUUGCCAAGGAUGCUUUCAUCA